Molecule: ribosomal RNA, 254 nt
Filed under: uncultured bacterium
Lineage: Bacteria
Description: partial 16S ribosomal RNA
Rfam family: Bacterial small subunit ribosomal RNA
Source: RNAcentral
UACGUAGGGCGCAAGCGUUGUCCGGAAUUAUUGGGCGUAAAGAGCUCGUAGGCGGUCUGUCGCGUCGGAUGUGAAAGCCCGGGGCUCAACCCCCGGAACUGCUUUUGAAACUGUCGAACUAGAGUGCAGAAGAGGCAACCGGAAUUCCCAGUGUAGCGGUGAAAUGCGUAGAUAUUGGGAGGAACACCAGUGGCGAAGGCGGCUCACUGGACCGGAACUGACGCUGAGGCGCGAAAGCGUGGGGAGCAAACAGG